This 2206-nucleotide long non-coding RNA is filed under the name Homarus americanus (American lobster). Its description in RNAcentral is "uncharacterized LOC121863270". Lineage: Eukaryota; Metazoa; Arthropoda; Malacostraca; Decapoda; Nephropidae. The record is from RNAcentral.
UUUGGAUGUAUAAUAUAUACUAUUUUCAAUAAAAAUUCCAUUGAAUUUAUGUAUAUGUAAUGUAUUUUAUGGGGCAAAGGGAGACUGGGGAAUGUAGCUCUUGUAUUUUAUCUAUUUCUUAUGGAGAAAAUUGAUUCCAUUAACGUUUCCGUUUUCGUCGCGGUUUUCAGGAACGGAACCACGACAUUAAGCGAGGACUUACUGUACAAGUACUGUACUUGAAAUCCUUAAACCUCCUUCAAUAUUUCAUUAUUUUAACAAUAUUGAUAUGUUUUACAAAAUUUCUUUGUCAAACCCUUUCCUAAAUUUCUUUCAGACCCUUUCCUUUCAAAAACCAUUACAGUACCCUAUUUUCCUUGCAUUUAUCUUCAUUUUCCCACUAUCACAUACUUAGACAAACUUAUUCACCACCACUUUUGAAGUUUCUAUUUUGUUAAUGUCUUAAUAAUGUAAAUUAGAAAUCAAAGAACAAAGGUGUAAGCAUUUGUUGAAAAAUUCUGCAGAAUGUUAGAUUGUGUUGAUAAAAUGUAACUAUUGCCUUGAACUAUAAUUCAGGCUGUUGAAAUUUAAAGAGGAGGGUGGUCCUCAGAAGUGAGCUGAUUUGGUUAUGUAAAGGGAGCAAGAGAAGACACAGGUGAAGUCCUCCAAAUUACACCCUUUACAUUUAGGCAGAACUUUCUUUUAAAAUUAUCAGUCUAAAUUGCACUGCAAACUCCCUUAGAAUAUUGCAAUCUAUGGAUUGUUAAGAUGAUAAUGAUAUGUAUUAGAACACAAGCUCUGAUCUAAAAAAAAAAUCAACCAUUCUGAAGUCUAUUGCUGUCAGUCUUCGAUCUAUGACUUGCACAUAACUAUCAAUGUGAAUUAGAUAUUGGUUUCUGAAUUGUCCUAUUUCACAUCAAGAUAAAUUGUCCUUGUUGCUUCACUUAAUAAUUCCACUCCCAACUGCAUCCGUCCCUCCCCCUCUUCCCUCCCUCCCCAUACCUUCCAUGCCUCCCCCUUUAGGAAAGAUUGGGCUGGCAUGGUUUAUACAAGAAAACGUCGAAAACAGGAACAACACCGCUCUUCACACAAGGUCCUGGUAUGAGAACAAUUUCAACCGAGAUCACCAGAAAUGGGCAUGUUGCAGGUGGAUGGCUACAAUAUCCACUGUCAUCAUGACUUCUUUUUGGUAAAAUAAGGUUGUCUGUGGGUUCCAGUAAGGUCAGCUUGGAGUUGUGUGAUGUAUGUACAACAUAUCCCCAGGACACGAGUUCAACGGAUGCGCAUUCUUUGUAACCAUUUUCAAUAUAUAUGUAUGCAGUGUGAGGUUUCUUUUAACUAAUUGUUCAUGUAUUAUUUUGGGUGGACUUUUGUCUUCUAUAAAUCAUCACUGAUUGAUUAGCAAACAUCAGUGACCUCUUAGCCUGGUUAACUUUUGACAGUUUGGUUGUAGUAUAUCUAUAUACUGUACUGUACUGAUAAGCAGAAGUUCAUAUCCUAACUAUUGUCUCCUUAAUUCAUCACCUGAGAUAUUUUUACUUCAUAAGCAAUCAUUUUGUUUUUUGCAAUUUGUAUGUAAUGUACAAUUGGUUUGAUAUCCACCACAUAAAAUCAACUGCUUCAGUAUUAAGAAUUAAAUUUUAUUUGUUUGACUUUUUGCAAAAUAGAACUGUUAUCUAUCACUGGAAGUCUUUUUAAGUUAUAUAGUACAGUAGUUAACUUGAAGCUUUCAUUUAAAUUUCAUAAAGAAUUGUGAAUCGACUUGAUACAAGUUUAUGCAGUGUACAGUAUAUGAAUUUUGAUGUCCUACUUGGUGUAGUACCAGUGUUAUCUGAGAAUUUGAAACGUAGAUUUCACUUAUCAUUGUCUAUACCCGUACUUCAAAAUUAAGUGAUCGUAUAUAAAUACUGAAUUGAGAAUCUAAAAGGGUUUUACUACUUAUUUGUGUAAUCCCCCCCAAAAAAGAAACUUGCAGCAUUAGGCAUGAGCAGUGGUGGGUGGGUGGGGCUGCAAUCCCAGGGCCACCAAAGAACUUACACCCACCAAAUUUUACUUAACAUAUUAUUGAGAGAAAGUUGCAUACAGAAUAUGCUUUCUUUAAAAUUACUGGUCUGUUUUCAUUCACAACUAGACCCUGGGUAUGAGGUCCAUGUUCCUUAAAGUGCUGUGAAGUCUUUAUCUUGUAGCUACUCAAUUGCUUGAUUCAAAUGAAAUUUUAUAUAAAAUA